RNAcentral lists this ribosomal RNA (254 nucleotides) under uncultured bacterium. Its description in RNAcentral is "partial 16S ribosomal RNA". It matches the Rfam family "Bacterial small subunit ribosomal RNA", at positions 524 to 776 of the family's 1533-position model. The record is from RNAcentral.
UACAGAGGGUGCGAGCGUUGUUCGGAAUUAUUGGGCGUAAAGAGCUCGUAGGCGGUCUGUUGCGUCCGCUGUGAAAACUCGGGGCUUAACCCCGAGCCUGCAGUGGAUACGGGCAGACUAGAGGUAGGUAGGGGAGAAUGGAAUUCCCGGUGUAGCGGUGAAAUGCGCAGAUAUCGGGAAGAACACCCCGUGGCGAAGGCGGCUCUCUGGGACGGUACUGACGCUGAGACGCGAAAGCGUGGGGAGCGAACAGG